RNAcentral lists this transfer RNA (71 nucleotides) under Magnaporthiopsis poae ATCC 64411. RNAcentral's name for it is "tRNA-Pro (AGG) (tRNA-Pro-AGG-2-1)". It matches the Rfam family "tRNA". From Rfam's summary of the family: Transfer RNA (tRNA) molecules are approximately 80 nucleotides in length. The record is from RNAcentral. Lineage: Eukaryota; Fungi; Ascomycota; Sordariomycetes; Magnaporthales; Magnaporthaceae.
GCCGCGAUGGUCUAAUGGUAUGAUUCUCGCUUAGGGCGCGAGAGAUCCCGGGUUCUAUCCCGGUUGCGGCC